This 1442-nucleotide long non-coding RNA is filed under the name Pan troglodytes (chimpanzee). Its description in RNAcentral is "lincRNA". Lineage: Eukaryota; Metazoa; Chordata; Mammalia; Primates; Hominidae. The record is from RNAcentral.
CUCAGAAGCACGUGCGCCUUACGUAAUUUCCUGUUAUUCUUCGGUUUGCCUCCUCCCAGUGGCGUGGAUUUGCUCCCGACCCGCUUUUGGGGCGUGCCUGCUUCCUCCUCUCUGUUAGGUCUCGCUCUGUCACCCAGGCUGGAGUGAAAUGGCACAAUAUUGGCUCACUGUAACCUCCGCCCCCAGGUUCGACUGAUUCUCGUGCCUCAGCCUCCUCAGUAGCUGGGAUUACAGAUGAGGCCCAGAGAGGCGAAGCCACUUGAGCUCGUGAGUGACAGUCAGAUCUCAAGCCCUGCUCUUUCUAAAGCGUGCUGCCUUCAGAAAAGAAGAGCCAGAAGGAUGGAAAUUACUUUAGAAAGAUAAAUACCAGCUUUGAAGGAAUAAAAGCUGACAAGGAAUUGAAGGAGUUGAGGCACAAGCUUGAACAGGGUUGCAUGUUUGGCCCUUGAUUGUAAAUGCCCAUUGCUGCACCUGUUCCUGUUACUUGGGGAGUUGCAGCAGAAGGAACAGCAGCCUGGGACUCCAGAGAACUGGGUUCCCUCUCAUCUCUCCAGGGCCACCACUUCUUGUGGGCCCUUGGGCAAGUCACUGUACUUUCUGAGUCUCAGUUUCCCCAUUUGCAGAAUGGAAAUAACUACCCCGGUCUACCAACUUAGAAGAAUUGCUUUGAGGAUCUGAUAAGGUGGUGUGGAUGAUGCUGCCUUGGGGGCUUUACAGUCUGGAGCUCAAGGGACCCCUUAAGUUGGGCUUACUUAGUAACUCCAGGGGUGGGCAGAACAGGACUCCAAUGAGGGUUUUUUUCUUUUUCCCUUUUUUUUCUUUUCGUAUCUCUUAACUUUUAUCUUUAUUAUUUUACAAUGCCCUUGUAAGAUGAAACAAGUGAUGCUGAAAUAUCUUUUUUCUUUUUUAACCUUUAUUUUAGAAUUGGGGUACAUGUGCAGGUUUGUUGCAUAGGUAUAGUGUGGGCUGCUGAGGUUUGGAGUACGAAUGAAUUAGUCACCCCAGUGGUGAGCAUAGUGCCCGAUAAGUAGUUGUUUCAACCCUUACUCCCAUCCCUCUCCAUUCUUGUGUUCCCCAGUGUCUGCUGUUCCCGUUUUUAUGACCAUGUGUACUCAAUGUUUAGCUCCCACUUAGAAGUAAGAACAUGCCCAGCACUUUGGGAGGCCGAGGUGGGUGGAUCAUGAGGUCAAGAGAUCGAGACCAUCUUGGCUAACACAGUGAAACCCUGUCUCUACUAAAAACAUAAAAAAUUGGCCGGGUGUGGUGGUGGGCACCUGUAGUCCUAGCUACUCGGGAGGCUGAGACAGGAGAAUCGCCUGAACCGGGGAGGUGGAGGUUGCAGUGAGCUGAGAUUGUAACCACUGCACUCCAGCCUGGGUGACAGAGUGAGACUCCAUCUCAAAAAAAUAAAAAUAAAAAAAUAAAAAGAAUGUGGUGUAUGA